UACGGAAGGCAGCAGUGGGGAAUAUUGCACAAUGGGCGAAAGCCUGAUGCAGCUAUGCCGCGUGUAUGAAGAAGGCCUUAGGGUUGUAAAGUACUUUCAUCGGGGAGGAAAAAACAAAACUAAUAAUUUUAUUUCUUGACGUUACCCGAAAAAGAAGCACCGGCUAACUCCGUGCCAGCAGCCGCGGUAAUACGGAGGGUGCUAGCGUUAAUCAGAAUUACUGGGCGUAAAGAGCACGUAGGUGGUUUUUUUAAGUCAGAUGUGAAAUCCCUGGGCUUAACCUAGGAACUGCAUUUUGAAACUGAAAUACUAGAGUAUCGUAGAGGGAGGUAGAAUUCUAGGUGUAGCGGUGAAAUGCGUAGAUAUCUGGAGGAAUACCUGUGGCGAAAGCGGCCUCCUAAACCGAAUACUGACACUGAGGUGCGAAAGCGUGGGGAGCAAACAGGGAUUAGAUACC
This 457-nucleotide ribosomal RNA is filed under the name uncultured bacterium. Its description in RNAcentral is "bacterial SSU rRNA". It matches the Rfam family "Bacterial small subunit ribosomal RNA", at positions 340 to 786 of the family's 1533-position model. The record is from RNAcentral.